Molecule: ribosomal RNA, 384 nt
Filed under: Ammonia sp. T2A
Lineage: Eukaryota; Foraminifera; Rotaliida; Rotaliidae
Description: SSU rRNA
Rfam family: Eukaryotic small subunit ribosomal RNA
Source: RNAcentral
AGCGACCGCGCCGAACCUACUUCGAAAGUAAAAUUUCUCAGUGGGUAAUCCAUUAGAAGUAAUGACUCGCAUAGACCAUGGCACAACUAAAUGUACGCGCAGGUUCUACCCGGCUCGCCUUUGUGUGAGUGCAGUGCGUAGCUUGUUGUUUCGUACGUGCCACUCCGUAUUAAUUCGUACGUGGGGAUAGAUCAUUGUUUAAUUGUUGGUCUCGGUCUUAACUAGGAAUGCCUUGUACGGGUCUCUGGUUCAACAUACCACCCGGAAUACGUCCCUGCCCUUUGUACACACCGCCCGUCGCUCUUACCGAUGGAUUAUGCUAUGAAUCUAUAGGACUGCCAAAGCGUGUAGGAGCUUAGUGGAAAUAUAUAGAAUAGCGGAUCU